Molecule: long non-coding RNA, 33417 nt
Filed under: Triticum aestivum (bread wheat)
Lineage: Eukaryota; Viridiplantae; Streptophyta; Magnoliopsida; Poales; Poaceae
Description: long non-coding RNA (TAES_LNC026797)
Source: RNAcentral
UCUUUUCUGUUUUAAUUCAUUUUAAAAUAAUUAGGCACUUUCUAAAAAUAUGUUUUCUUUAUUAUAAUUACCCUUGUAAUAUUCGGCACUCACCGAACAUUUUGUUUCAACUCUUGAAAUUUUUGUUGUUUGACAUAUUUUGAAUUUAAAAUUUGAAGGGGUUUCGAAUCAAUGUGAGGUUAGCAACAGUAACUGUGGUGACAUGGCAUCGUUAACAUGGGAUUACUGUAGCAUGAUUAUCCGGGCGUCACAAUUCUCCUCCACUACAAGAAAUCUCGUCCCGAGAUAUAAGAGGGGAGUAAAGGGGAAAGUUCUGGUUACGCAAUUCUAACGGGUGUCCUCGGUCUUGGUUGCUCUUCUCGAAGAGGUCGAUCCAUUAUGUUGAUGUCUUCAUUCUCUGUUUCAAGGCAUCAUGAUGAAGUCAUCAUCCUUUCUCCCGGGGUUCCCUCGUACUUCACGAAAAAGGAUAAUGGGUAUCUUCGGAAGAACUGGCCUCUAGAAGGUCGCUUAUCUGGUAGAUAACACCAGGAAAGGUGGCGAAAAGUAACGCUCGAAUUGUAACUGAAGAAAAUUUCGGAAGCCAAGUAAGAAGGUACCAUGAGAAGUUUCGAUCCGGCAGGCAAUCAUUCAUUGCCUGAAGCGAAGUGUGAAAGGGGUUUAGAACAAAGGGAAUAAGCAUUGUGUGUGAUACCAGAAUAGAUCACUAGGAAGGUGGUCCAUGAAUUACAUAUGAGGCCACGCGCGAGGAACAACCUUGCUAACAGGGGGUGUACAGAAGAGUCAGGUUUCGAUCCUAUGGAACUGUGGGUUAUGGGCCCACCAUGUGGGUAAAAAGCAGGAAGAGGGGUGACGUCUUGCACGAUCCUGUAAGCAAGGCAUGUUAGAGAAUAACCGGUCAGUUAUGUUGGCAGCAUCAUUGGUACCAAGGGCAAGGGACGAAGAGAACCAUUUUCCUGCUCGUUGAACGAGGUGGACCACUAGGCAAAGUUCUCAUCCAUCGGUGGCUACCAGAAUGUCAUCAACAAUAGUAACAGGGUCUUGCUGACAGAAUUGUACACUGAUGUGUUUACAUAAGCAGAAGAAUCUUACUGCUUAGAUCAUAUAGAUCACAAGAAAGGUUAACAAACCAAUGGAAAGGAAAAUGUGAUCAUCAGGUUAAACAGACAAUGGAAAGGAAAAAUGUGUUUAAACACAUAUUUCAGGGGUAUAUCCUUCCCAAGGACAAGCAGAGCAUGAUAUCCAUGAUAGGAUAUAACGUAGAAAACCCUUUAGGAAAGGAGAGAGAAAUAUGAUGAGAUUACCCAUACAACGGUGCUUGGGGUAAUUGAGAAAGAAACAUUUAGCUUUGGGCUUCAAAUGUUUUUGUUGAAAAUCGAAGUACCACAGACAUGCUUCGAGAUAGCACUGACAUGGUCUUCAAGCAAAGUUCAGACCUUGGAAACACAAAGGAUCCAUCAGGAUAACUUAUUAAACAAGGCAUUCAAAUUCUUCAUGGAAAAUGGUUCUCCUUGCUAAAAAGUAAAUUAUAACAAUAGGUCCUCCGGUCAGGUGUGCUAGGCAUGACAUCACCUUACCGAGUCAUAUAAAGACCAAUGUUAUAACUCUUGGAAAUAUGUUCCCACCAUCAUAUCUGACCGAGAUUCAGAUUUGAUUGUUGUUAGGAUACCUCAGACUCAGGAUGCCUGAGAAGAAAAGGUGCAAAACAAAUUGACGAGAUGACAUUGUAAGAUUCUCGGGAAAUGUACUAUGGAAGGGAGUUCCAGAACAAGAGCUCAUCAUUCAACCAAUGAAGGGAUAAGGAGGUAGUUGAUGAACUCAGUGACAAUUCAUCGAGAUUUCGAAAGGAUGGGUUUCCACAGUUAUGUGAACAAGGAGAUAACAUUUGUCAGAUCAAAUGAUAUAAUGAUGUAUGCUCGAGGAAAGCAUACACAAUUGAACAUUGAUUGAAAGGUGCACCCAAAAGAUGGGCUUAGGUAGCAUGAUCAACGUUAGAAUGGUGGUUCAACAACCAUUAGUCUAAGAACGAACUAUCGACCAUCAACUUCAAAGCAAUAGGGUUGUUAGAAGUACAAAAUCCACGCAGUACCGUUCACUUGUUGGAAUCCCAGCUAGAAUCAACAUGGGGACCAAGAAGGGAAGGAUAUGGUGAGAAGUAUUACUUGCAUCAAAAAUUCAUAAGAGGUGGUGAAAGUCUCAUGACAUUCUUGACAAGGCAGAUGGUAAUACUCCAAGGUAAAGAAGAACAAUUGUUGGAUAGCACGGAACUCAAGGUACAACACAACAAGAACAAGUUUUGGUGUUGGAGGGAAUGCAAUAAUGUUGUCGAUGUUAACCCAAAUCAUCGAGGGGGCAAGCAUGGAAUUUCUCAUCAUGAACUCAAUGUACGUCUCGAAAGAAGUUAAAAUGUUGAAGAUGAUCAUGACACAUUUAUCAAGAGGUUUCAAGAAGAUGUAAUCGAUCGGCGAAGACAACACAUCAAGGGAAUGGUGAAGUAAAAGGUUACUAUAACCAUAGAUAAGAUGCCAUCUCAGAAUUCGGAGUUGUCUCUCAAGACAAACAAUAUGAUGCGGAAAGUUCGAUGUAAGCUUAGAGCACUGUCGGUAUUGUGUCCCGGGGAUGAAGGACAUAGGUAGAAUGGUCAAGCAGUCAGCCUGACGAUGAUGAUGUAGUCAAUCCAUUGGGAAUGACAUGAUCAAGUGCAAACUCGUAAGCAAUGAAGACUACUAAAAGUUGUCGAAUCAUAGUGUGGACUUGGUCCACUAUUCGGUGUUCUCGGUUGACGACAACCCAGAACUCGUGAGUGACUAUGACAGGGAAAGGUAUUACUCAAUUACAAAUUCGUAAGAUGUAGUGCAAUGGCAUGAUAUCCUCGAGAUACCAGGUGUAAUACUCGACGGCAGAUCAAAAUAGAGGUUGGACAAGCGUAUUGCUCUGUAGAAGGCAAGUACUUCAACUUGUCCGAGAAAAGGAUCAAAGAUGAUCAAACAUGGUCGAAACCAUGGUUGCAAAGGACCAACAUAGAUACAAGAUGAAAUUGUAACCAGGGGACCAUUAUUAAUACAAGAAGCUUCCAUGAUAAGUUCCACAUUGGGUCCAUGGGCAUGAACACAAAGUUCAAGGUCGACUCCCACUUCUCCAAAGCACAACCUUACAUUCAUUUCUCGUUUCAAAUAUUGGCAUUAGUGUUGAAAGUUUUACCUGGUGAAAUACCAGAUGAGUAUGGCCCGUGAAAUCUUCCGGGCUCGCAUAGAUUAGGUAAGGCAUUGUUUCAACCCGUCGGGGCAUCUUAGGAACAUAUACCACAAACUUUUAGGAGUAAUUAACACAAGCUCGAAAGUAGAGCAUGGUUGUCAAAGCAGAGGAUACAAUUUACCAAAGGCAUUAUGUAUCAGGGAAAUAACUCACAAGGUGAUUAAAUAUGAAGAAUACGGUUGGAUAACAAUCCAACAAAGGACAUGAUGGUCCACAAAGGAUCUGAUGUGAGUAUCGGUACCCAACGAGAAGAGGAAAGAAUGCAAAUGCAAUAGGUUAUGGAAUCAUAUGAAUAAUUCGAAGCUUAAUUGCAAAGGGAUUAUGAUUCCAAAUCGAAGGAUCAGAAGCAGAUGCUCUGAUCAAGGGUGGAUAAGUUGAAUAGACUUAGGGGCAUAAUUGACGGCAAUUUGAUUGGUCGAGAACCAGCUCCUGUUCAAAAUGUCGUCUGAGCCGGAUGAAUUCUAGGACCUGAUUGUGGAUUGCGAGCAUUCACAACAUAUUGAAUCAACGGACCCAAAUGAUAAUGACAAGGGAAGUCAAUAAGAUUACGAGACUUAUGGGGUUAACCAUAAAGCAAGCAAGCAAGAAUUUCAAGAGCAAAAGGCUCCUGAGGAUUUUCGGAAGAUCGAAUGGUAUUUCAAAGACUGUUGUGAAAUACAUGAAUCAACUGGGAAUGAACGGAUACUCGAUAAGUGCGAGAAAUUAUCUGUAGGGGUAUUCAGGUGGCAAAGAACUGCAAGGCAGUGCUACAAGGGAUUCUUAAAAGUCGAAGAGCAAUUCGAUGUAUCUGGUAAUAACAAGAGAAACUCAGAGUAGUUGUAUGAACAAGUGUAUGUUGUUAUCCAUAUGGAUAUAUCAGUAGUAUGGAAUUGAAAAGGCAGAGGGCACAAGGGUCUAUGGAAUGAUCGAAGAGUAUCUUCAACAUCUUCUGGUGCAGUCGUCGAUCAUCUGCGAUAAGGGGCUCUCCAGGAGAAGUAGUUACGAGAGCCUAGAGUCAGAUUUAGUGAAAUCAUUUAACCCGAUUAGAAGAGAGAUCAGAGUCCCAGAGAAUAGGCGAGGAGUAAAAGAUCCUAAUACCACCCAAUGGCGACGUGGGCCCGUAAGGCACACAACCAAGUUAGUAAAAGUUUUGUAGUGACUAGACUCGACUUCGGCCAAGGAGUGUGGAAGGGGGAUUCCUAUAGGCAGGCGGCUCUGAUACCAACUUGUGACGCCCCCGAUUCAAUCGUACACUAAUCAUGCAUGCAAACGUGUACGAUCAAGAUCAUGGACUCAUGGGAAGAUAUCACAACACAGCUCUAAAAACAUAAAUAAGUCAUCCAAGCAUCGUAAUACAAGCUAGGGGCCUCGAGGGCUCGAAUACAAGUGCUCGAUCAUAGACGAGUCAGCGGAAGCAACAAUAUCUGAGUACAGACAUAAGUUAAACAAGUUUGCCUUAAGAAGGCUAGCACAAACUAGAUACAGAUCGAAAGAGGCACAGGCCUCCUGCCUGGGAUCCUCCUAAACUACUCCUGGUCGUCGUCAGCGGCCUGCACGUAGUAGUAGGCACCCCCGGUGUAGUAAGAGUCGUCGAGGGUGGCGUCUGGCUCCUGGGCUCCAAUGUCUGUUUGCGGCAUCCGAGAAGAAGAGGAAAAUGGGGGAAAAGAGGGAGCAAAGCAACCGUGAGUACUCAUCCAAAGUACUCGCAAGCAAGGAGCUACACUACAUAUGCAUGGGUAUAUGUGUAAGAAGGCCAUAUCAGUGGACUAAACUACAGAAUGCCAGAAUAAGAGGGGGAUAGCUAGUCCUAUCGAAGACUACGCUUCUGGUAGCCUCCGUCUUGCAGCAUGUAGAAGAGAGUAGAUUGAAGUCCUCCAAGUAGCAACGCAUAGCAUAAUCCUAUCCGGCGAUCCUCCCCUCGUCACCCUGUGGAAAAGCGAUCACCGGGUUGUCUGUGGAACUUGCCUGGUGUGUUUUAUUAAGUAUCCGGUUCUAGUUGUCAUAAGGUCAAGGUACAACUCCGGGUCGUCCUUUUACCGAGGGACACGGCUAUUCGAAUAGAUAAACUUCCCUGCAGGGGUGCACAACAUAACCCAACACACUCGAUCCCAUUUGGCCGGACACACUUUCCUGGGUCAUGCCUGUCGUUGUUUUGAGUCUGACAGUAGAAUGGGGGGUAGGUAUGGAGAGGCAAGAUCCUAGCUAUGGAGUAGUUGUAUACGCAAGGGAUUUACAAGUUUAGGCCCUUCUCAGAGGAAGUAACAGCCCUACGUCUCGGAGCCCGGAGGCGGUCGACUGGAUUAUGUGCAUAUGAGUUACAGGGGUGCGAACCCUUUACACUAAGGAGGGGGGUGGCUUAUAUAGUGUCUGCCAGACCCCUCCGGUCCUCAGUUAUGCGGGGUUUAAAGUACAUAAAGGAUUGGCAUUACUGGUAACGCCCUACAUAAAGUGUCAUCAUGGUAAUAAAGACUACUUAAUUAUAGACCGUUUGGAUAUAGAGCGACUCUUAAUCUCCUGGUGGUCAAGUGAGUCUUCGUGGUCGAAUGCCUUCGAGUCCGUCGAGUGGAAUUCCUCUUGGUCGACUGGAACGCUAUUUCUUCUGAAGAUGUCCUUGGGGAGGGUCCUCUGGACAGGCUCAUGACCCUACCCUAGGUACAUGACUUCAUCAUUAGCCCCCGAAUGGAUCGAGGUUUGAAUGAGGAAGGAGUUGAUAAUCUUUCCGGCCUGUUUUUGUGUUCUGUGUAUGUCUCAUCCUGGAUCAAUGACCCUCUUUUUUUUAUGAUGGCAUCAACUUUUCUUUCAGUAGCCUUGAUCCAUUCUUUUCUUCUGUCGAGUGAACUUUUGAACUUGGUGAACUUCCAAGCGACGGAUCGUAGGAAAUCUACCGUCUGACAAGUUGAUCUGCUGUUAGCGGAUUUUGUGGGAUCCGAAUUUUGGGAAGCGCGCGAAGCGGGGUGGACUGCGGUACUCGGAUGGGAUAAGGCGUAGAUGCCUCGAUUUCCGUGCCGCCUUUUUCGCCACGUAUCGCGCGCGUGCGACUGUUUUGGGAUUUGACAGGUCCGCCCGGGCCUACUUGUCAGCCACUCGGAAGCGUCCCUAUAUAAGGUACCGGGCGAGGGUUUUUGAACAGUGCCUCUCCAUUCCCCUUUCUGCCUUCUUCACCCCCGCCUGCUGCGCCCGCUUUUGCCUCCGCCCAUCCACUCCUCGCGCGCUUCGCCGGCGACGAUGGUGAAGGAGAAGACGGUGGCCUUGGAGCGAGCGAAAAAGGCGACGGCGACGGCGAAAGCGAAGGGAAGAGCAACCAGUCGGGGUGGAUCUUCGUCGAGGUCUCGCCUGCCGCAAGGCUGGGUCCAAGGGGAUUGGAUCCGCUCGACCAUCACCCAGGCGGAUCUCAACGACCUGGCCAAUGAGGGACUGAUCUCUCAUGGGUCAGCAAGGCUUCCGGGGACCGAGUGGGAACCGCAGCCACUGGAGGGUGAGUGCGUUCUCCUAGCCACUCAUGUAGAUCGUGGAUUCUCCCUGCCAUUGAGUCUUUUCUUCCGAGGGUUUCUGAACUUCUUUGGGGCGCAACUCCACCAUUUCACUCCCAAUUCCAUUGCCUACCUCGCCGCCUUUGUGUAUUUGUGCGAAAACUUCCUGGGUUGUCGACCGCAUUGGGGUCUCUUUAAGCACAUAUUCACUUGUCGCUCUCAGACGGUGAAAAAGGUGAGUCCGGAUGACGAUAGGACUAAAGUAUUCCAGAUGUGCGGGGGUCUUGGGAUCCAAGUGAGGAGUAAGAGUGCUUUUCUAGCCAUGACCCUUCCCGAGUCGGUUAGAGGGUGGCAGUCGACUUGGUUCUACUGCCAAGACGAGUCGACGCCUGGGCAGUCGACUGGUCUCCCUCCGUUCUCCAUGGACCGAGUGAACAAGCCGUCUUCUCUGAAGGUGCUCCCGGAGGAGAAGGCUCAGGUAAAAAUGUUGAUGGAGCGUGUAGUCCAGCUCAUUCGAGACGGAGUGACUGCCAUGGACCUUCUGGAGGUUUUCCUUCGACGGCGUAUUCAACCGCUCCAAUACCGAGGCCACCCGAUGUGGCUGUACUGCGGCACCGAAGAUACCACUCGGGUCCAUCCAGAGGCGGUCAAUGACGCCACACUGGAGAGGUGGAUGGCUGCCAUCACAAGGAAUAAAGAUAACCCUCGAGGGGCUAGGAGGAUCCCACCACUCGACCAUUCCUACACACCGGACACGGUAUGACCACUUAUCCCUGGUUGUGAUCUUGCUUUAUUCAUUCUGCUUCACUGCAAAUUGGUCGAUUGAACUUUGUCUUGUUUUGUUGUCCGUCAGGCCACCACUGAGUUGUACUCGAUGCCCAAUGGAGCGCAAGCGCCGACUAAGGAGGAGGAAGUAAGUGGGGGCGAAAGCCCGGAGGAGUGGCAUUCGGAUGCGUAUGACGACGAUGAAGACGAUGACUCUGAUGAGGAGGAAGAGGAGGAGGAGGAGGAAGUUGCACCUCCUUGUUUGAAAAGAUGCUCGAAGCUUGUCCAUGAUCCUGCAGCCGAGCCUGGUAAGGGGGUUGCGCCCGUCGCGCAGUCGACCAAGCGUCCUCGGACGACUUCUCUGGCGCCGACUGAAAAAGCUCUGAAGCAAUCUCGAGUGGCGUCGUCGAAGCCGACGAAGGUCUUGUCGAAGAUGAAGGGUGAUCCCCACUAUCUCAGGGUAAUAGUGUAACUUAAGUUUCCUCGUUUCACAUGAAUUUAUUCUUGGCCGAUUCGUGAGCUGACCGACUGACUUCUAGAGCUGCAGUGCUGUUACUUCUGAUACCUCAGCCAGGGCUGAAGAUCACGAGAUGGAAGAUGCUGUCACUUCAAAACCUGGUAUGACUUUUGUAGUUUUGUCUUCAGUCGGUUGGCUCUUUGUCUUUAAUUUUGACUCUUUUCUGCAGCUCCAUCUAACGUCGUUAUUGACCUUCCCGACGACGAUGACGAGGAACCACUGAGGCAGAGGAGGAACAGGAAAGCGUCUACUGGCAAGGAGACUCAGGACGUGCCAGCACCCGAGAAGUUGGUCGUAGAGGGGGACAACGUCACUCGGCCUACCGUACCUUUUGCGGUGCCGCUGACGAGUGCUCGCCCUUCGUCGUCGAGUGCUGCUCAGCCUUCACUUUUCUCGACCCACCACGUCCCAGAAGACCAAGCUAGUGCUGCUAAAGAAGCAAUAUGCCAGGCAGGGAUCAUGAUGGAGCAAGUGAAGGCAAUCUGAGACGCCAGUUAGGCGGCUUAUGACGCCAGUUCAGCUCUUCAGAGCAAUGUUCAGGUCAGUCGAUCACCGCCUGUUCUGUUAGGAUAUGAUAUCUUAAAAUCCUUCUUUCUGAAAAUUUGAGUAUCUGUCGUACACCCACUGGGUGUGUUGAUUGACAUUCCGGAUUAGUGGGGGCACGCUGAGUGCACCCACUGGGUGUAGUCCCCAAGGCUAUGGUCGACUGCUGGCAGUCGACCAUAGUCUUUAUGUCUUAAGCUUUUUCUUUAUUAGAUCAAGUCGAAUGGAUUGAUAAAUCAGUGGGGGCACGCUGAGUGCACCCACUGGGUGUAGUCCCCGAGACUGUGGUCGAAUGCUGGCAGUCGACGAUAGUUUGAAGAUAACCUUUCUUUUUUUUGCUACUUGUUGGUCGACUGAUCGACUCUAACUGGUAGAACUAGUGGGGGCACGCUGAGUGCACCCACUGGGUGUAGUACCUGAGACUAUGGUCGAAUGUUUAUAUUUGGCUGUAGUCUUAGAAAUGAUAUGAUUUUUCCUUAGUCACUCGGAAGUGAACUGUCUUUGACAUUUGUCGAUUGGUUCUUCGCAGAAAUCUUGCGAGCUUGUGGCUCGUUACAGAGAGUUGGAGAACAAGCAAAUCCAGCUCGAGCUUGAUCUAAAACUGGUCCAGGAGAACUUCACGAAGUCGAAGGAGGAAGCAAAAGGUGUGUUUGGUGAGAACCUCGACCAUUGCUUUUUGCCUCUCGCCCGUUUCAGAGUCUGGUCUCACUGUGACUUUGCAGACAAACUGAGGGAUGCUCUGAAGAAGAAAGACCUUGACUUGGCUGAGAUGCAGAAACCGGCUUUAGAGAAGACCAAGCUCGCAGAUGAGAAGCUGGCUUCAAUCACCAAGCUUGAAGAGGAAAAUACCAAUCUGAAAGCUGCUCUUGAUGCGGCCAACAAGGAGGUCAGUCGACUGAAGAGUGACAAGAUUGCCUUGAGUGACAAGGCCAGUGAGUUGGUGGGAAAGAAGAAUGAUCUUGAGGCUUAUCUGGAAGGACUCGCCAAAAAGCUAUUCCUCAUGCUUGAAGGUAAUCUUUUGUAUCAAAUAGACAAUUUAACUAUGAUCUCUCCAUCCGACUGUUGUCUUGACUCUGGGGUUGUGCUCGCAGAGUUCUGCCAGAACUUUGAAGAGGAGACUGGUCGACUGGAAAUAAACCUGGAUCCCAUCAACUCUCCUGUGAAAUAUGAAGUCGCCAUGAAUGUGCUCCGACUCGGAUCUCGCGUUGUUGUUGUUGUCGACUAUCUCGCAAGGCUGAAGGUCGCAACUUCCCGCAUCGACACAACACUCUGGCCAAGAGAGACGUUUCAGAAUGACCUCGAGUCUUUGAUGACUCGACUGAACGAGGUUCCAAGUCGAGUGCAAGAAUGGAAGAAGUCUUCUGCCAGAUGCGGCGCGGAUGUUGCUCUGUCUCUGGCCCGUGUUCACUGCAAGGAGGCGCGAGAGGACAAGCUGGCAGCCCUUAAGGUGGCUAAUACCAAGAAGCAUGAUUUCCGAUCUUUCAUGGAGACCUUCAUCGCCGUUGCCACUCGGAUUGCAGAUGGAAUCGACCUGGAUGAAUUUGUUGCACCUUCCAGCCCUCCGCAGGAGGGGUAAAAAACUUAUGUGCUCGAUACUUUAAAUUUGCCUCGGUAUGCCGAGUGAUUUUUGUAACCGAUAAACUUUAACGGGCUUAGCGCCCGAGCACUUUCGGUUCCGUUGGAUGUUAUCUGAACUUGGAUUCGACGUUAAAUAUGUUUGCAUUUGGUUUGAGGUGUCUUUUGCAGGCUAGGGCGAAGCGCUUGUUGCAAUCGACUUGUUCCUCAACACACUUAGGCGAGCACUGGACUACAGCUAAGCCCCCGAGUGGGAGGUCUGCUCUCCACUCAAUAGGAUUUUCAAAUCUUAGGCGAGCACUGGGCUGCAGCUAAGCCCCCGAGUGGGAGGUCUGCUCUCCACUCGGUAGGAUUUUCAAAAACUUAGGCGAGCACUGGGCUGCAGCUAAGCCUCCGAGUGGGAGGUCUGCUCUCCACUCGAUAGGAUUUUCAAAAAACUUAGGCGAGCACUGGGCUGCAGCUAAGCCCCCGAGUGGGAGGUCUGCUCUCCAUUCGGUAGGAUUUUCAAAAACUUAGGCAAGCACUGGGCUGCAGCUAAGCCUCCGAGUGGGAGGUCUGCUCUCCACUCGGUAGGAUUUUCAAAAACUUAGGCGAGCACUGGGCUGCAGCUAAGCCCCCGGUGGGAGGUCUGCUCUUCACUCGGUAGGAUUUUUGUGGCGUACCUCUAGAGAAGGAGGUAACAAUCGACCUGCACCUCGUCCUCCUUGCAGAGCGCACGUUGUAUUUGUGGCGUAGCUCAGAAGGAGAGGGUAGCAGUCGACCUGCACCUCGUCCUCCUUGCAGAGUGCACGUUGUAUUUGUGGCGUAGCUCGGAAGGAGAGGGUAGCAGUCGACCUGCACCUCGUCCUCCUUGCAGAGCGCAUGUUGUAUUUGUGGCGUAGCUCGGAAGGAGAGGGCAGCAGUCGACCUGCACCUCGUCCUUGCAGAGCGCAUGNNNNNNNNNNGAGCACUGGACUGCAGCUAAGCCCCCGAGUGGGAGGUCUGCUCUCCACUCGGUAGGAUUUUCAAAACUUAGGCGAGCACUGGGCUGCAGCUAAGCCCCCGAGUGGGAGGUCUGCUCUCCACUCGGUAGGAUUUUCAAAAACUUAGGCGAGCACUGGGCUGCAGCUAAGCCCCCGAGUGGGAGGUCUGCUCUCCACUCGGUAGGAUUUUCAAAAACUUAGGCGAGCACUGGGCCGCAGCUAAGCCCCCGAGUGGGAGGUCUGCUCUCCACUCGGUAGGAUUUUAAAAAACUUAGGCAAGCACUGGGCCGCAGCUAAGCCCCCGAGUGGGAGGUCUGCUCUCCACUCGGUAGGAUUUUCGUGGCGUACCUCUGGAGAAGGAGGUAACAGUCGACCUGCACCUCGUCCUCCUUGCAAAGCGCACGUUGUAUUUGUGGCAUAGCUCGGAAGGAGAGGGUGGCAGUCGACCUGCACCUCAUCCUCCUUGCAAAGCGCACGUUGUAUUUGUGGUGUAGCUCGGAAGGAGAGGGUAGCAGUCGACCUGCACCUCAUCCUCCUUGCGUAGCGCACGUUGUAUUUGAACUUAGGCGAGCGCAAUGCUGCAGCUAAGCCUCCGAGUGGGAGGUUGGCUCUCCACUCGGUAGGAUUUUGUUUAACUUAGGCGAGUACUUGUACUGCAGCUAAGCCUCCGAGUGGAAGGCUGGCUUACCACUCGGUAGGAUUUUGUUUAACUUAGGCGAGUACUUGUACUNNNNNNNNNNNNNNNNNNNNNNNNNNNNNNNNNNNNNNNNNNNNNNNNNNNNNNNNNNNNNNNNNNNNNNNNNNNNNNNNNNNNNNNNNNNNNNNNNNNNNNNNNNNNNNNNNNNNNNNNNNNNNNNNNNNNNNNNNNNNNNNNNNNNNNNNNNNNNACGUUGUAUUUGAACUUAGGCGAGCGCAAUGCUGCAGCUAAGCCUCCGAGUGUAAGGCUGGCUUACCACUCGGUAGGAUUUUGUUUAACUUAGGCGAGUACUUGGACUGCAGCUAAGCCUCCGAGUGGAAGGCUGGCUUACCACUCGGUAGGAUUUUGUUUAACUUAGGCGAGUACUUGGACUGCAGCUAAGCCUCCGAGUGGAAGGUUGGCUUACCACUCGGUAGGAUUUUGUUUAAACUUAGGCGAGUAAUUGUACUGCAGCUAAGCCUCCGAGUGGAAGGUUGGCUUACCACUCGGUAGGAUUUGUUUAAACUUAGGCGAAACAGAUUCGCAGCUAAGCCCCCGAGUGGGAGGCUGGCUCACCACUCGGUAAGGAUUUGUUUAAACUUAGGCGAAACGGAUUCGCAGCUAAGCCCCCGAGUGGAAGGCUGGAUCACCACUCGGUAAGGAUUUGUUUAAACUUAGGCGAAACGGAUUCGCAGCUAAGCCCCCGAGUGGGAGGCUGGCUCACCACUCGGUAAGGAUUUUUUUUACAGACUUAGGCGAAUCAGAUUCGCAGCCAAGCCACCCAUUGGGGGAUUGCUUUAUGCGGACAAAAGUAACGACAAUUACUGGAAAAUUAUAAAGCUCUUGCCUUUGAUAAAUAAACUACAAAAGUUUUUAUUACAACCCAUCCGAGUGAAUACUUAAGUAUAAAAGGGGCGGAGGAGCUCCGCAUUCCAAGCUCGGGGCUCGUCGAUCUGGUGUUCGACAUUGUAAAGACGGUAUGCUCCAUUGUGGAGAACCUUGGUGACGAUGAAGGGACCCUCCCAAGAAGGAGCGAGCUUGUGUGGUUUCUGUUGAUCCACUCGGAGAACCAAAUCUCCUUACUGGAAGGCUUGACUCCUCAUGUUUUUGGUGUGGAAGCGACGCAAGUCCCGCUGGUAAAUGGUUGAUCGGAUCAAAGCCAUCUCCCUUUCUUCCUCUAGAAGGUCGACUACGUCUUGCCUGGCUUGUUCUGCUUCAGCUUCGGUGUAGAGCUCGACUUGGGGAGCGUUGUGAAGCAGGUCACUCGGCAAGACCGCUUCAGCUCCGUAGACUAAGAAGAACGGAGUUCUCCCAGUCGACCGAUUAGGCGUGGUCCUUAAUCCCCAAAGUACUAACGGAAGUUCGUCAACCCAUGAACCAGCUGCAUGCUUGAGAUCACGCAUCAAUCGGGGUUUCAACCCUUUGAGAAUCAAGCCGUUGGCUCGUUCUGCCUGUCAAUUCGACUGAGGAUGAGCGACUGAAGCAUAGUCGACUCGUGUGCCUUGAGAUGUGCAGAAAGCUCUAAAUUCCUCGGAAUCGAAGUUUCACCCGUUGUAAGUGAUGAUGCUGUGCGGGACUCCAUAUCUGAAUAUCAAUUCUCUGAUGAAGCUGACAGCAGUACCGGCAUCAAGGUUCUUGAUGGGUUUAGCCUCAAUCCACUUGGUGAACUUGUCGACUGCUACCAGCACAUGGGUGAAACCGCUUCUGCCUGUUCUCAAGGGGCCAACCAUAUCCAACCCCCAUACUGGGAAGGGCCAGGCAAGUGGUAUGGUCUUUAAAGCUGAGGCGGGCUUGUGUGACAUAUUGGAGUAAAAUUGACAUCCCUCACACUUGUCGACUAUCUCCUUUGCCAUUUCAUUCGCUCUUGGCCAGUAAAAUCCGGCUCGGUAUGCUUUGGCCAUGAUGGUCCGAGAGGACGCAUGAUGGCCACAGGUCCCCGAGUGGAUGUCGUCAAGGAUUAUUCGACCUUCUUCUGGCGUUAUGCAUUUCUGACCAACUCCAGUCGCGCUUUCUCUGUACAGUUGUCCCCUUAUCACGGUAAAGGCUUUAGAUCGGCGGACGAUCUGUCGAGCCUCUUCUUCAUCCUGUGGGAGCUCUUUCCUUAAGAUAUACGUGAUAUAUUGUACUGUCCAAUCGGGAGUGAUCACCAACACUUCCAUGAUCAGGUCGACCAAUGCCGGAAUUUCAACUACAGUCGGAUUCGUGGCACUCUUAGGUUGCGGAGCUUCUUCAGUAAAAGGAUCUUCUUUAACUGAUGGAGUGUGGAUGUGCUCCAAGAACACGUCACUGGGAAUAGCUUCUCUCUUGGAGCCUAUCUUUGCCAAGUCAUCAGCCGCUUGAUUCUUCAGUCGGGGUAUAUGAUGGAGCUCUAACCCCUCAAAUUUCUUCUCAAGCUUUCUCACUACAUUACAGUAUCCAGUCAUGGCUGGGCUUCUAACGUCCCACUCCUUCAUCGCCUGAUUGACCACCAAAUCUGAGUCGCCAUAAACCAUCAGGCGACGGACGCCGAGUGAAAUGGCCAUGCGCAACCCAUAUAAAAGCGCCUCGUAUUCUGCUUCAUUAUUGGAGGAAUCAAAGUGGAUCUGGAGCACAUAUCUGAGCUUAUCUCCUCAGGGGGAAACCAAAACCACCCCAGCACCGGAACCAUUUAACAUCUUAGAGCCAUCAAAGAACAUGGUCCAAUGCUCCGAGUGAACUUGAGUCGGCUGCUGUUGUUCAAUCCACUGGGCAAGGAAAUCUGCUAUCGCCUGGGACUUAAUGGUUUUCUUUGCCUCAAAUUUGAUAUCAAGGGGAAGGAGUUCAAUCACCCAUUUAGCCACUCGACCAGAUGCAUCUCUGAUGUGCAGAAUCUCUGACAGUGGUGCGUCGCUGACGACUGUAAUGGAAUGAUCAGAGAAAUAAUGAGCAACCUUCUUCGUGGUCAUGUAGAUCCCAUAUACAAGCUUCUGAUAAUGAGGAUAUCUUUGCUUCGAUGGAGUCAAAACUUCAGAGAGAUAAUACACUGGGCGCUGAACUUUGAAGGCUUUCCCUUCUUCUUCCCGCUCGACCGUAAGUAUUGUACUGAGGACUUGUCCUGUGGCUGCAAUGUAAAGCAACAGAGGCUCUUUGCUGAUUGGAGCAGCAAGCACCGGCUGGGUGGAGAGUAGAGCUUUUAGCUCGGCAAACGCUGCAUCGGCUUCUGGAGUCCACUCGAACUUGUCUGCCUUCUUCAUCAGUCGGUAAAGAGGUAAUGCCUUUUCAUCGAUGCGAGAGAUGAAUCGACUUAACGCGGCCAAGCAUCCAGUAAGCUUCUGGACAUCGUGCACAUGCACAGGGCGUUUCAUUCAGAGUAUGGUGCCAACUUUUUCUGGGUUAGUGUCGAUUCCUCGUUCUGAAACGAGAAAACCGAGUAACUUUCUGCCAGGAACUCCGAAUGUGCACUUUGAUGGAUUAAGCUUGAUAUCAUACCUCCUGAGAUUGGAAAAUGUUUUAGCAAGGUCAGUCAACAGGUUGGAACCCUUUCGUGACUUGACCAUGAUAUCAUCCAUGUACGCUUCCACAUUCCGACUGAUUUGAGUGAGUAAACACUUUUGAAUCAUCCUCAUGAACGUGGCUCCGGCAUUCUUGAGACCGAAUGGCAUGGUGACAUGGUAGAAGCACCCGAAUGGAGUGAUGAAAGCUGUUUUGAUCUCGUCGGGUCCAUACAGACGGAUCUGAUGGUACCCGGAAUAGGCGUCUAAAAAAGACAAUCUCUCGCAUCCCGCAGUCGAGUCGACAAUUUGGUCGAUGUGAGGGAGAGGAAAAUGAUCUUUCUGGUAGGCCCGAUUGAUAUGUUUGAAAUCGAUGCACAUGCGAAGUGACUUGUCCUUCUUGGGGACCAUGACGGCAUUGGCGAGCCACUCGGAGUGGUAUAUCUCUCGGAUAAACUCUGCUGCAAGGAGUCGAGCCACCUCCUUGCCAAUGGCUUUUCCCUUCUGAACGACGGACCGUUGAAGAUGUUCUUCGACAGGUUUUGCUUUUGAGUCGACUCUAAGGCGAUGCUCAGCCAGCCCCCUGGGAACACCCGGCAUGUCAGCAGGCUUCCAUGCAAAGAUGUCCCAGUUCUCACGGAGGAACUGGAUGAGCGCUUCUUCCUAUUUAGAGUUGAGUGUUGUGGAAAUAUGGGUCGAAGCUGCGCUGGGGUCAGUCGGGUGAAUAUGAACGGGCUUCGUCUCACCAGACGACUGGAACGCUGACUCUGUGGCGGGCUUCUUGGACCGCAACAAAUCACUUGGAUCUGCAUUUUUCUUGUAUCCCUCCAGCUCUACCACUGUUAUCUGGGCAUCCGCAAUCUUCGAGCCUUUCUGAAAACACUCUUCUGCCUUCUUCUGGUUGCCAGUGAUAGUGAUCACACCUUUGGGGCCAGGCAUCUUUAAUUUGAGGUACACAUAACAUGGUCGAGCCAUGAACCGUGCAUAAGCUGGUCUCCCCAAAAUAGCAUGGUAAGCGCUCUGGAAAUCCACGACUUCAAAUGUCAGCUUCUCUUUGCGGAAAUGUUUCGAGUCGCCGAACACCACAUCUAGAGCUAUUUGGCCGAGUGACUCAGCCUUCUUUCUAGGAAUGACUCCAUGAAAACUCAUGUUGCUGUAGCUGAGUCUGGACAUCGGAAUGCCCAUUCCCUUUAGCGUCUCCGCAUACAAUAUAUUCAGCCCACUUCCACCAUCCAUCAGCACCUUCGUCAAUCGAGUGCCUUCGACGACUGGGUCGACCACCAAAGCUUGCCUCCCAGGGGUGGCUAUGUGAGUCGGGUGAUCGGACUGGUCGAACAUAAUGGGAGUUUGAGACCAUCUCAGAUAGCUUGGUGUCGCCGGGGCGACCAUAUUUACCUCAUAGUUGAUAACUUUCAAUCGACUUUUGCUCUCCACAUCAGCAAAAAUCAUCAGGGUGGAAUUGACAUGAGGAUAUCCUCCAUCACUGUCCUCCUUGUCCUCAGCCUUGUCCGACUCCUUUUCUUUGUCCUUGGGCUGUUUUCCUUGAAACUACUGGAUUAAGAGCCGGCACUGGCGAGUGGUAUGUUUCAGGUAGAUGAAGUUACCCUCUUCGUCUUUCUUUGUGUGGAUGUGACACGGCAGAUCCAUCACGUCAUUUCCUUCCUUAUCCUUCACCUUCUUGGGGUUCCAAGAUCCUUUGGGCUUCCCUUUGAAUUUUCCCUGAGUCACGGCCAGAGCCUCUCCAGGAGCAGCUGGCUCGGCUUUCCGCUUCUGUUUCCGAUUGGAGUUUCCUUUUUCCGACUGACUCAGCUUAUACUUGCCACUCCGGAGUCUGUCCUCUUCUUCACCGUUAGCGUAUUUGGUGGCAAUCUCCAUCAUUCGACUCAGGGUCAUAUCCCCGGUUCGACCAAACUUCAGACUUAACUCUCUGUUCUUGACACCAUCCUUGAAGGCACAGACCGCUUGAUGAUCAGACACAUUCUCCACGGUAAGAUGCAAAGUGAUCCAUCUCUGGAUGUAAUCUCUCAGGGUUUCAUUCGAAUUUUGCACGCAGACUUGCAGCUCUGUCAAUCCGGCCGGUCGCUUGCAAGUUCCCUCGAACGUCCUGACGAACACUCGGGAAAGAUCUUCCCAAGUGUAAAUGCUGCUAGGAGCUAACUGAUUCAACCACGCCCUGGCCGAACCCUCUAACAUGAGUGGUAAAUGCUUCAUGGCCACCUCAUCAUUACCGCCGCCAAUCUAUACCGCCACUCGGUAGUCUUCAAGCCAGGUUUCAGGCUUGGACUCACCGGUGAACUUACUUACCCCAGUCGCCAACCUGAAGUUGGGGGUAUCACUGCGGCUCUGAUGGCUCUGCUAAAACAUUCUGGACCUGAAACAUGGACUCGGCUGCUAGUGGGCGCAUCUCUGUCAUGGCCACCUUGAUGAGCUCUGUUCCGAUCGACCAAACCUUGCACGAUGAUGGAUCUCGCGUCAAAGCCUGGUUCCCUGGGGUCGACCGGAGCUCUUCGCCCAACACUGAGCUGGCGACUGUCAUCUUGCUGCCGAUGGGUGUAAGACCCACCCCUUGGGGGGAGUAGGCACUCGACACCUAUCAUCACGAUCAAAUCGGUCAUCAUACUGGUCACGCCGACCUUCACGUCCCUCGCGCCACGGAGGCGAUCUUGGGCUAUGAGCCGACUGAACUGUAUUCGCAGCGACAGAUCGAUUGUGAAUCCUGUUACGCGACUGUGACACAACUGAAUUCUGAUCUCCUGCGGCUCGGAGCAAAUCCCUGAUCUGCAUCAAGCCUCUGCCAGCCUCCGACUGAGAGGGCUGAAUUGACUCUGCUAUACGGGACGCAGCUGCUAAAUUCUGAAUCGGGGUUCGAUAUACCUGAGUUGGUUGCGGAAAGAGUUGACGUCGACUGGAGUCGGGUACUCGUUGCCGCGCACGCUCGUCGAGUGCUCGCUUGAGGUUCUCCAGUCGAGUACGUUCAGCCAAGUUGGCCAAACGCGCCUCUUCCAAGGCACGAGCCUCGGGAGUUUCUCCUGCGAUGGGAGUAUGCAGGGCAUCCAUGUUCCGGUGGCGAAGAUCUUCCCUUUGCUGAGAAGUGAGUGGCUCGGGUUGAUAUUCCUCGUGGGCCUGAGCGGGGUCGCCUCCACCGUCUAUCCCGUCGGUGCGGGGGAAGCCGGGAGGGCUACGAGGCCCAUUGACCAUCAGGACCUCCGCCGCUGGAUCACUGUUGUCGCACUCGGAUGCAGUCUCUAUGGAGCCAGUCGACAGAUCGAACAGGCCGUAGAGAGAUUCGUCAGGCUCAAUUGCCGCGACUUGGGUGGUGGCCGAUUGGCGAGCUACUACGUGUCUCACCCACCGCUGAAGCCUCGACCGACCAGAGCGCUUGCGCUGGUGGGAGACAGGGAGGGAGAACAGCACAGGAGUCGACCGAUAUGGAGUCGACGGUUGCCGCAGCAGGACGCCACGGACACACGCCCGAAAAUGCGUUGCACCGUGGACGAGGAGCGCGUCGAUGUCGAGUGGAGCCUCCUGAAGCCAAGCGGAGUCGUCGGCAAUGAAAGUGAGCGCACCGAGACGGAUCUCGCGGCCCUCGACCAGAACUCCGCCAGAAACCAUGAUGAAGGCAAUCGGAAAAAUUGCAACUUCUCCAAAAAGUCGCUAAGACACCGGCCCCAAGGUGGGCGCCAACUGUCGUGGUUCUGAGUCUGACAGUAGAAUGGGGGGUAGGUAUGGCGAGGCAAGAUCCUAGCUAUGGAGUAGUUGUAUACGCAAGGGAUUUACGAGUUCAGGCCCUUCUCAGAGGAAGUAACAGCCCUACGUCUCGGAGCCCGGAGGCGGUCGACUGGAUUAUGUGCGUAUGACUUACAGGGGUGCGAACCCUUUACACUAAGGAGGGGGGUGGCUUAUAUAGUGUCUGCCAGACCCCUCCGGUCCUCAGUUAUGCGGGGUUUAAAGUACAUAAAGGAUUGGCGUUACUGGUAACGCCCUACAUAAAGUGUCAUCAUGGUAAUAAAGACUACUUAAUUAUAGACUGUUUGGAUACAGAGCGACUCUUAAUCUCCUGGUGGUCGAGUGAGUCUUCGUGGUCGAAUGCCUUCGAGUCCGUCGAGUGGAAUUCCUCUUGGUCGACUGGAACGUUGUUUCUUCUGAAGAUGUCCUUGGGGAGGGUCCUCUGGACAGGCUCAUGACCCUACCCUAGGUACAUGACUUCAUCAAUGCCCAGCCUCGAAAGAUCAACACGUCGUAGCCCCACCUAGGCCUAACAGAGAGGUCAGCACUCCGGUCUAACUCCUAUGGCGCAGGGGUCUGGGCCCAUCGCCCAUUGCACACCUGCACGUUGCCUGGGCGGCUGAAAGAAGAACUAGCCCCCUUAAUACAAGAGCAGGCUUACGUUCCAAUCCGGCGCGCGCCGCUCAAUUGCUGACGUCUAGAAGGCUUUGACUGAUACCACGACGUCGAGUGCCCAUAUCUUUCCCACGUAGUAGGUUAGUGCGUAUAGACCAAAUGGCCAGACUCAGAUCAAAUACCAAGAUCUCGUUAAGCGUCUUAAUUUAUGUAACCGCGGACACCGACCAGGGCCAGGCCCACCUCUCACCUAGGCGGUCUCAACCUGCCCUGUCGCUCCGCCACAAAGAUCCACACAGAGGGCCGUCGGGACAAAGGUCCUUUCAGCCCCCAAUCCGUGAAUCACUCGCGGGCACUCAACGAGCCGACCCGACUUUAGUCACCAUCUGUAUAGUAUGUAUAUAUGUAUAGAAUAUACCCGUGAUCACCUCCCGAGUGAUCACGGCCCAAUAGUAUAGCAAGGCAGACAGACAAGAAUGUGGGCCAAUGAUGAUAAACUAGCAUCCUAUACUAAGCAUUUAGGAUUGCGGGUAAGGUAUCAAUGACUGUAGCAACAAUGACAGGCUAUGCAAUAGAAUUGAACAUAUAAAGGUCAAGGCAUACGCUAGGCAGAAUGAAGGCAUCCACAUCACCCUAUGAAAUAGUGCGAGCGAGCGAGCGCUGCGUGUAGCGAGGCGAGCGAGCGAGAGCAGCGGGCAGCGAGCAGAAUAGGAGAAUUGAACAUAUAAAGGUCAAGGCAUACGCUAGGUAGAAUGAAGGCAUCCACGUCGCCCUAUGAAAUAGUGCGAGUGAGCAAGCACUGCGUGUAGCGAGGCGAUCGAGCGAGAGCAGCGGGCAGCGAGCAGAAUAGGAGAAUUGAACAUAUAAAGGUCAAGGCAUACGCUAGGCAGAAUGAAGGCAUCCAUGUCGCCCUAUGAAAUAGUGCGAGCGAGCGAGCGUUGCAUGUAGCGAGGCGAGCGAGCGAGAGCAGCGGGCAGCGAGCAGAAUAGGAGAAGUCAGGGAGAAAAAAAAGGAAAAAACCUAGCCCAGAUCCAACGCCCCUCACUCCUUCCUCCUCCCUCCCUCAUCCGCCGCCAUGCUCCCUCCCACCUCCUCCCAAGGAGCCCCGCCGCCCACCGGCGACCUCCCAGCCCUGUUCUCCGCCUCGUCGCCCUGUCCACCUUGAGCUCGAGCCGAGAAGCGGCCCGUGUCGCGUGGUGUCCCCGAUGCGCAAGCCGAGGAGCGGCCUGUGUCAUGUGGUGGCCCAGAUGCGGCCGCCCCAUGCUCAGGCGCGGUGCUGGUGAACAAGAGCAGCAGCGGCCGCAGCAGGAAGCGGUGGUCCGUGCCGUCGCCGUCAUCUUCGUCCUCAGGCAGAAGGUCAAGCCAAGAUGUGGUAACCCUAUCAUCCCCUUCCCCCGUUCUCAUUCUUUUUAUUUAAUCCCCAAAAAUCUCAUCUUUGUUUGUUCUAUGCCUACAAGGUGUUCGAUAAAAGCAAAAUGGCGGAUAUAUCACUUCUCUCCUCGCCGGUCAGAAGGAGCAGCAAUUGAACAUAUAAAGGUCAAGGCAUACGCUAGGCAGAAUGAAGGCAUCCAUGUCGCCCUAUGAAAUAGUGCGAGCGAGCGAGCGCUGCGUGUAGCGAGGCGAGCGAGUGAGAGCAGCGGGCAUCGAGCAGAAUAGGAGAAGUCAGGGAGAAAAAAAAAGGAAAAAACCUAGCCCAGAUCCAACGCCCCUCACUCCUUCCUCCUCCCUCCCUCAUCCGCCGCCAUGCUCCCUCCCGCCUCCUCCCAAGGAGCCCCGCCGCCCACCGGCGACCUCCCAGCCCUGUUCUCCGCCUCGUCGCCCUGUCCACCUUGAGCUCGAGCCGAGAAGCAGCCCGUGUCGCGUGGUGUCCCAGAUGCGCGAGCCGAGGAGCGGCCUGUGUCAUGUGGUGGCCCAGAUGCGGCCGCCCCAUGCUCAGGCGCGGUGCUGGUGAACACGAGAAGCAGCGGCCGCAGCAGGAAGCGGUGGUCCGUGCCGUCGCCGUCAUCAUCGUCCUCAGGCAGAAGGUCAAGCCAAGAUGUGGUAACCCUCUCAUCCCCUUCCCCCGUUCUCAUUCUUUUGAUUUAAUGCCCAAAAAUCUCAUCUUUGUUUGUUCUAUGCCUACAAGGUGUUCGAUAAAAGCAAAAUGGCGGAUAUAUCACUUCUCUCCUCGCCGGUCAGAAGGAACAGCAAUUGAACAUAUAAAGGUCAAGGCAUACGCUAGGCAGAAUGAAGGCAUCCACGUCACCCUAUGAAAUAGUGCGAGCGAGCGAGCGCUGCGUGUAGCGAGGCGAGCGAGCGAGAGCAGCGGGCAGCGAGCAGAAUAGGAGAAGUCAGGGAGAAUAAAAAGGAAAAAACCUAGCCCAGAUCCCAAGCCCCUCACUCCUUCCUCCUCCCUCCCUCAUCCACUGCCAUGCUCCCUCCCACCUCCUCCAAAGGAGCCCCGCCACCCACCGGCGACCUUCCAGCCCUGUUCUCCGCCUCGUCGCCCUGUCCACCUUGAGCUCGAGCCGAGAAGCGGCCCGUGUCGCGUGGUGUCCCAGAUGCGCGAGCCGAGGAGCGGCCUGUGUCAUGUGGUGGCCCAGAUGCGGUCGCCCCAUGCUCAGGCGCGGUGCUGGUGAACACGAGCAGCAGCGGCCGCAGCAGGAAGCGGUGGUCCGUGUCGUCGUCGUCAUCAUCGUCCUCAGGCAGAAGGUCAAGCCAAGAUGUGGUAACCCUCUCAUCCCCUUCCCCCGUUCUCAUUCUUUUGAUUUAAUCCCCAAAAAUCUCAUCUUUGUUUGUUCUAUGCCUACAUGGUGUUCGAAGCAAAAUGGCGGAUAUAUCACUUCUCUCCUCGCGGGUCAAAAGGAGCGGCAAUUGAACAUAUAAAGGUCAAAGCAUACGCUAGGCAGAAUGAAGGCAUCCACGUCGCCCUAUGAAAUAGUGCGAGCGAGCGAGCGCUGCGUGUAGCGAGGCGAGCGAGCGAGAGCAGCGGGCAGUGAGCAGAAUAGGAGAAGUCAGGGAGAAAAAAAGGAAAAAACCUACCCCAGAUCCCACGCCCCUCACUCCUUCCUCCUCCCUCCCUCAUCCACCGCCAUGCUCCCCCCCACCUCCUCCCAAGGAGCCCCGCCGCCCACCGGCGACCUCCUAGCCCUGUUCUCCGCCUCGUCGCCCUGUCCACCUUGAGCUCGAGCCGAGAAGCGGCCCGUGUCGCGUGGUGUCCCCGAUGCGCGAGCCGAGGAGCGGCCUGUGUCAUGUGGUGGCCCAGAUGCGGCCGCCCCAUGCUCAGGCGCGGUGCUGGUGAACACGAGCAGCAGCGGCCGCAGCAGGAAGCGGUGGUCCGUGCCGUCGCCGUCAUCAUCGUCCUCAGGCAGAAGGUCAAGCCAAGAUGUGGUAACCCUCUCAUCCCCUUUCCCCGUUCUCAUUCUUUUGAUUUAAUCCCCAAAAAUCUCAUCUUUGUUUGUUCUAUGCCUACAAGGUGUUCGAUAAAAGCAAAAUGGCGGAUAUAUCACUUCUCUCCUCGCCGGUCAGAAGGAGCAGCAAUUGAACAUAUAAAGGUCAAGGCAUACGCUAGGCAGAAUGAAGGCAUCCACGUCGCCCUAUGAAAUAGUGCGAGCGAGCGAGCGCUGCGUGUAGCGAGGCAAGCAAGCGAGAGCAACGGGCAGCGAGCAGAAUAGGAGAAGUCAGGGAGAAAAAAAGGGGAAAACCUAGCCCAGAUCCCACGCCCCUCACUCCUUCCUCCUCCCUCCCUCAUCUGCCGCCAUGCUCCCUCCCACCUCCUCCCAAGGAGCCCCGCCGCCCACCGGCGACCUCACAGCCCUGUUCUCUGCCUCGUCGCCCUGUCCACCUUGAGCUCGAGCCGAGAAGCGGCCCGUGUCGCAUGGUGUCCCAGAUGCGCGAGCCGAGGAGCGGCCUGUGUCAUGUGGUGGCCCAGAUGCGGCCGCCCCAUGCUCAGGCGCGAUGCUGGUGAACACGAGAAGCAGCGGCCGCAGCAGGAAGCGGUGGUCCGUGCCGUCGCCGUCAUCAUCAUCCUCAGGCAGAAGGUCAAUCCAAGAUGUGGUAACCCUCUCAUCCCCUUCCCCCGUUCUCAUUCUUUUUAUUUAAUCCCCAAAAAUCUCAUCUUUGUUUGUUCUAUGCCUACAAGGUGUUCGAUAAAAGCAAAAUGGCGGAUAUAUCACUUCUCUCCUCGCCGGUCAGAAGGAGCAGCAAUUGAACAUAUAAAGGUCAAGGCAUACUCUAGGCAGAAUGAAGGCAUCCACGUCGCCCUAUGAAAUAGUGCGAACGAGCGAGCGCUGCGUGUAGCGAGGCGAGCGAGCGAGAGCAGCGGGCAGCGAGCAGAAUAGGAGAAGUCAGGGAGAAUAAAAAAGGAAAAAACCUAGCCCAGAUCCCAAGCCCCUCACUCCUUCCUCCUCCCUCCCUCAUCCGCCGCCAUGCUCCCUCCCACCUCCUCCCAAGGAGCCCCGCCGCCCACCGGCGACCUCCCAGCCCUGUUCUCCGCCUCGUCGCCCUGUCCACCUUGAGCUCGAACCGAGAAGCGGCCCGUGUCGCGCGGUGUCCCAGAUGCGCGAGCCGAGGAGCGGCCUGUGUCCUGUGGUGGCCCAGAUGCGGUCGCCCCAUGCUCAGGCACGGUGCUGGUGAACACGAGCAGCAGCGGCCGCAGCAGGAAGCGGUGGUCCGUGCCGUCGCCGUCAUCAUCGUCCUCAGGCAGAAGGUCAAGCCAAGAUGUGGUAACCCUCUCAUCCCCUUCCCCCGUUCUCAUUCUUUUGAUUUAAUCCCCAAAAAUCUCAUCUUUGUUUGUUCUAUGCCUACAAGGUGUUCGAUAAAAGCAAAAUGGCGGAUAUAUCACUUCUCUCCUCGCCGGUCAGAAGGAGCAGCAAUUGAACAUAUAAAGGUCAAGGCAUACGCUAGGCAGAAUGAAGGCAUCCACGUCGCCCUAUGCAAUAGUGCGAGCGAGCGAGCGCUGCGUGUAGCGAGGCGAGCGAGCGAGAGCAGCGGGCAGCAAGCAGAAUAGGAGAAGUCAGGGAGAAAAAAAGGAAAAACCUACCCCAGAUCCCACGCCCCUCACUCCUUCCUCCUCCCUCCCUCAUCUGCCGCCAUGCUCCCUCCCACCUCCUCCCAAGGAGCCCCGCCGCCCACCGGCGACCUCCUAGCCCUGUUCUCCGCCUCGUCGCCCUGUCCACCUUGAGCUCAAGCCGAGAAGCGGCCCGUGUCGCGUAGUGUCCCAGAUGCGCGAGCCGAGGAGCGGCCUGUGUCAUGUGGUGGCCCAGAUGCGGCCGCCCCAUGCUCAGGCGCGGUGCUGGUGAACACGAGAAGCAGUGGCCGCAUCAGGAAGCGGUGGUCCGUGCCGUCGCCGUCAUCAUCGUCCUCAGGUAGAAGGUCAAGCCAAGAUGUGGUAACCCUCUCAUCCCCUUUCCCCGUUCUCAUUCUUUUGAUUUAAUCCCCAAAAAUCUCAUCUUUUUUUGUUCUAUGCCUACAAGGUGUUUGAGAAAAGCAAAAUGGCAGACAUAUCACUUCUCUCCUCGCCGGUCAGAAGGAGCAGCAAUUGAACAUAUAAAGGUCAAGGCAUACGCUAGGCAGAAUGAAGGCAUCCACGUCGCCCUAUGAAAUAGUGCGAGCGAGCGAGCGCUGCGUGUAGCGAGGCGAGCAAGCGAGAGCAGCGGUCAGCGAGCAGAAUAGGAGAAGUCAGGGAGAAAAAAAAAGGAAAAAACAUAGCCCAGAUCCCACGCCCCUCACUCCUUCCUUCUCCCUCCCUCAUCCGCCGCCAUGCUCCCUCCCAACUCCUCCCAAGGAGCCCCGCCGCCCACCGGCGACCUCCCAGCCCUGUUCUCCGCCUCGUCGCCCUGUCCACCUUGAGCUCGAGCCGAGAAGCGGCCCGUGUCGCGUGGUGUCCCAGAUGCGCGAGCCGAGAAGCGGCCCGUGUCGCGUGGUGUCCCAGAUGCGCGAGCCGAGAAGCGGCCCGUGUCGCGUGGUGUCCCAGAUGCGCGAGCCGAGGAGCGGCCUGUGUCAUGUGGUGGCCCAGAUGCGGCCGCCCCAUGCUCAGGCGCGGUGCUGGUGAACACGAGAAGCAGCGGCCGCAGCAGGAAGCGGUGGUCCGUGCCGUCGCCGUCAUCAUCGUCCUCAGGCAGAAGGUCAAGCCAAGAUGUGGUAACCCUCUCAUCCCCUUCCCCGUUCUCAUUCUUUUGAUUUAAUCCCCAAAAAUCUCAUCUUUGUUUGUUUUAUGCCUACAAGGUGUUCGAUAAAAGCAAAAUGGCGGAUAUAUCACUUCUCUCCUCGCCGGUCAGAAGGAGCAGCAAUUGAACAUAUAAAGGUCAAGGCAUACGCUAGGCAGAAUGAAGGCAUCCACGUCGCCCUAUGAAAUAGUGCGAGCGAGCGAGCGCUGCGUGUAGCGAGGCGAGCAAGCGAGAGCAGCGGGCAGCGAGCAGAAUAGGAGAAGUCAGGGAGAAAAAAAAGGAAAAAACCUAGCCCAGAUCCCACGCCCCUCACUCCUUCCUCCUCCCUCCCUCAUCCGCCGCCAUGCUCCCUCCCACCUCCUCCCAAGGAGCCCCGCCGUCCACCGGCGACCUCCCAGCCCUGUUCUCCGCCUCGUCGCCCUGUCCACCUUGAGCUCGAGCCGAGAAGCGGCCCGUGUCGCGUGGUGUCCCAGAUGCGCGAGCCGAGGAGCGGCCUGUGUCAUGUGGUGGCCCAGAUGCGGCCGCCCCAUGCUCAGGCGCGGUGCUGGUGAACACGAGCAGCAGCGGCCGCAGCAGGAAGCGGUGGUCCGUGCCGUCGCCGUCGCCGUCAUCAUCGUCCUCAGGCAGAAGGUCAAGCCAAGAUGUGGUAACCCUCUCAUCCCCUUCCCCCGUUCUCAAUCUUUUGAUUUAAUCCCCAAAAAUCUCAUCUUUGUUUGUUCUAUGCCUACAAGGUGUUCGAUAAAAGCAAAAUGGCGGAUAUAUCACUUCUCUCCUCGCCGGUCAGAAGGAGCAGCAAGACGGGAGCUGAGGAGAGCCGGAGUCGGGGACAAGAAGCAGUGGGGACCGGGCUCCCGCAAGGAGUGGGGCUGCAGGGAGAGGAAGGAAGCCAUUGACAGAAGAAAAGAAGAUGUCAGCUCUGGUGCAUCAUGGAGAACACAGCUGCUCGCCCUCCUCCGCCUCUUCUUCCCUAACCAUGGAUUCGUUGUACGUCUCAUGUUCUCUAUCCAACAUCUACUAAGCUGCUACCUUGAACUUGUGAAAAAGUAUACAUAGAAAGUGUAGUAGUAACUAGAAUAUCUGUCAUUAGCUUGUCAAGCUUACACAAGAUAAACUGUAUGCUUGAAUUGAGGUUCAGAAAAUUCAGGCUUGGGUGAAUUUGGCAUGGGUAAUUGAUAUACGUGAUUGGUUCGUUUAUGUUGCAAACAUUGCCAGUUUAGGAAAUGUAUGAAAAAAAUCAGGCUGUGUAAAAAAUGAGUUAAUUCUUGACAGUAUUUUUUGCAAGGUUAUGUGCAUAUCCUGUUCGCAAAAAUGUUGAAUUAUAGGUACAGUAAUAUGUGUCGUCAUGAGUGCUGAAUGUACCACAUUAUUUUUCUGUCAAAUAAGUGAUGGUGCAAGCGUAGACAGUCAUGAAGAUUUUAAUCUACAAAUGGGACUGACUACCUGGGCUUAAUGUCAUUGAUCUGCAGAGUGCAGAUUGGGGCUGCUGCACUAGGCAGAGCACCAUGCCCUGAUAGGAUUUCAGCACCGAAAAAACAAUCAGGCAAUUCAGGGUUUUCUGAACCUGCGAUGCUCUGUGAACCCGCGAUGCUCUGUUUUUAUGUACCAAGUAAUUGUGAACAAACACUUUUAUGUUAAUUAAGGGUUAGAAAUUGUGCUUUUUGGUAACGACAGCAGUGGAUGCAGUUAUUGCAGUAGUGGGUCGGUAUGAGCAGCUAUCUCCUACCCUUGCUUUGAUCUUGUCUGGUGGGCCAUUCUAUGCACAGAAGUUUGUGCUUCACGGACGGCGAGGGUCGGAGCCGUGGCUCGACAUUUUGCUGCCGGCCUGCUUGUGGCGGAGCAUGGCGGUAGUCGGGGCGGCGUUCUGCUCUACAGGAGAAGCACGGGCUGGCAGUUGCAGCUGAGCUUCUAUGUAACAUAGCUCCGAUGAAUCCUGCCGCAUCUGGCCUCUGCAGGUACCCGGCCCACACCUCUUCANNNNNNNNNNNNNNNNNNNNNNNNNNNNNNNNNNNNNNNNNNNNNNNNNNNNNNNNNNNNNNNNNNNNNNNNNNNNNNNNNNNNNNNNNNNNNNNNNNNNNNNNNNNNNNNNNNNNNNNNNNNNNNNNNNNNNNNNNNNNNNNNNNNNNNNNNNNNNNNNNNNNNNNNNNNNNNNNNNNNNNNNNNNNNNNNNNNNNNNNNNNNNNNNNNNNNNNNNNNNNNNNNNNNNNNNNNCUCCUCUGAUUUGCUUUCUCCCCUCUCCAACAGAAUAUCUCAUCCCUGUUUGUGUAGAUUCGUUUUUGUAUCUACCUAUAAGGCAUUCAAUGAAAACCCAAGCUGCUGCAGUGGCAGAUUACACUCCGAUUGCAUGCUGAGCCUUGUUGAUUGCUUCUCUUUUGGCCCCUUUUCAUUUGCUUGCUCUAUGAUUCGUUGUUGUAAAAGAAUUGCACUUGUUUUUGUGUUGGCCUCUCCUGUUCUUUUUUUGUUGGCUUGACGUACGCACUGGGAGCCUCCUACGUGAGGGAUUCAGCAUGCCUCUAUUUGAGAGAAUAAUAUGGAGGCGAAUUUUCAGGUAUGCUCUAUCGUUUGGAGCAAUGCCAGUUUGGUUUGGUUCGCAUUUUCCUUAUAGGUUGAUGUUGUAUGUAAGACUGUAAGUACCAGCCAGAACUGCCAUUAUAUAUUUGUUAAGCUAGGAGGCUGCACCAGUCUUAAAUUUAAAUAGGCUUGCUGUCACUUUAUUUUGGUCAACGUUUUUGGUCCUGAACAUGUUGUGUUUUGAUUUAUGAGGAGGACUAAAACACAUAGUUUUCCCUCAGACUUGUGGUCCAUGAGAGUGGUUAGGUAUUAACCUUUGGAUAAAUUAUGGGCAUGGUUAGUUCGGGUGAUAUAUAUUGAUUAAAGCAUACUGCUGCUUCCGUAAACAACAACCUGUUGAAAGUAUUGUUGGGUCAGAUUUAAGCUUCCAGCUACUGUGAUUUUAUCAUAUACAACACUUUCAGAUCAGUAAAUACAAUAGCCUCCCUUUUCUGUUAAAUAAUCAGGAUUGUUCUCAUACCAUUUGCUCUCCACAUUUUUAAUCCCACAGAAAAGUGCAUCCUUUUGUUUUUUAUUUACUAAAAGUACAUCGAUUGUCAAUGCAAAACCAUGCCGUUGUUCUCAAGUUGAAGCUAAUACUCGAUGACCAAUAAUGUUAUGAGAAUAGUUCUGCAAAGAUUUAUGGCAGAACAAGCAUUUAAAAAACAAGUGAACUUUGUUACUACUUUCGACACUGUAAACAUGCAUUGUAGUCAUCUCAGUCCGGCUUGGCCACGUAGGCCCCUCGUUGUAAACCUAGCUUGGAUAUUUUGACCAUUUCUUCCAAUUAGUAGCCUUCUCUUCUCUGUGCAGAGAAGAAGGACGAUGACAAUGGAAACCUUUGGGUUUAUAGAGGCUUGUACCUAAUAGUAUCAAAGUAAUCGAUCCUCUUAUUUGCAUUUUCACACAGAAGAAAAUAAGUACACAUUAUGGUAAUCAUUGAUUCCGAACCUUCCAGGUAACAAGCUGAUGCGAAUCCAACGAAACCUGCAGCUUACCCAACAAGAAUCGAUUUCUUUGUCAUGCUUAGGUUUCAGUAUUAUUUACAUGCUGUGUAAAUACGACAUUACUAAGAGGGGCCAGAGAGCGUGUUCUCUUACUCCAUGAGCACCACUUGAACCGAAGUAUUUUUACAUCCUAAAUUAUGGGAAAAGGACAACACUGUAGAUUGUCUUGAAUGGCCCACUUUUUAUUAUAUGGUGUGCUAGCUGCUCUUAAUCAAACCAUUCUUAUAUUUUAGCUAAUUUCAACAGUCAACAUUUAGAUAAUACAUUGGAUUCAACACAGUUUUAGCUGUUCACAUCUUGAUCCAUGUUGAAGCAGAUCAGUCAGGUAUACAACACUUUUGUUGCGUUUUAAUUGGUGUUGAUUUUUGUAUCUUGCAACCAAACAAGAGUCGUGGACUCCAUGGACCAUGUAUGUAUGAGGUGAUUACAUCUUCUGCAUGCAUUUUCAAGAUACUAACAGAAAGGCACUAAUUUUUUUCUUGUGUUCUUUAUUUGUGCUACUUCAUGGCAUUUGUAGAAUCCCAGUCCUGGUGUGUGCAUUCACAUAAUUAGUGAUCGAAUAAAUGUAUAUACUUAAGGAGCUAAUGGUACAAAUGUAUAUUGAACAUAUAAACCCCGGUGGGCAACCCGCUGUUCUGGAGGCCCUCCCGUGUGCAACGCUAGCUGGCCAUUCUAUAAACUGGAUGCAGGGUUAGUUUACCUUUUAGACUCUGAGUUAGAUUAGCCGCACUUGUGUAUACGUUUGAUAGAUGAGCUGUGUCAGGUUGUAGGUACUGCUGAGCACAAAGCUAUAGUUGGAUAUAAUAUUGGAUUUACAAUCAUUUUAUGCAAAAGAGUUCCAGUAUAUUUCAAAUUUUGUUUCAUAGAGAAGCUCCAUCAUUGGAACCAGUAUAUGUCUGCUGAUAAAACCCUUUUGUAUGAUCAUGGUUUUUAGGGAUUGAUAUUCCAAUCAAUCUGCUGAUGCGGUAUUUGUGGGAGAUGAAGAGUACCGACGGGUUCAAGCUAGGGGCCGUCUUUCUCGAGCUACAUUCAUGCUUCACAGCAGUUCACCUUCCCACAAUUGCUCAGGCUGCACAUCUGCUAGCUCAUGUGAGUAUGAAUGCCUUGUAUCUUGCAGUUCUUUCUAACGAGUAUUAGUGCAGAUUCCAAAGUAGGACUAACUUCUGCUUGUUUUCUAAUCUAUUCAUUCUACCUCAAGGUGAACCAAUCUAUCCCACGAGAGCCUUGUAUUCUGCGUGUUGAUCUAAAUGUAUUGGAAAAAUGGUCUGGUUGCGGAACAUUUGGUACACAAUUUUUUAUUCAAGAUGGAACAAGUUUGUUAUCGAUAUUCUUGUAAAUGGUUUAUAUAGUUUGUUUUGUUAUUAAGAAAACAUAUGGUUGUAUGUUUUUCGUAUUUCAGAGGAAUAUCGAUACAAAAUAGAUAAGUCUUUUUCUUUUUCAUUUCCUGAUAUACCAUUUAACUUCACCAAAUAGAACAAAGAUGGCUACGAAAGAAGAGCAUGUAUAAUUGAAAUACUUGUGUGAUGUCUACACUGUUGGCCGCAUGUAUCCACUAUUCAUCUCAAUCCAGUAGACACAGUUUUGUUAUUAUGUGCUGAUAUGCUCUGCAAUUUAGUAACAAUAAUCUUGCGUAAUGCAGACUAACAUGGCCAGAUGGUAUACUACAUUGGGUUUUCCCUGUCGGUUAAGAUUUCCAUGUGUUCCAAUCUGCCUCUAAAUAUAUUUAUGUUCACUCUUUCAAUACUUGCCUCGCUCUCGUCCCUUGCGCCAUCGGCGCAACGGGUCAUCUAGUAGGAGUAGCCGAACAGUAACAUGCUACACUUCUCUAAUGCAAGCAGUANNNNNNNNNNNNNNNNNNNNNNNNNNNNNNNNNNNNNNNNNNNNNNNNNNNNNNNNNNNNNNNNNNNNNNNNNNNNNNNNNNNNNNNNNNNNNNNNNNNNNNNNNNNNNNNNNNNNNNNNNNNNNNNNNNNNNNNNNNNNNNNNNNNNNNNNNNNNNNNNNNNNNNNNNNNNNNNNNNNNNNNNNNNNNNNNNNNNNNNNNNNNNNNNNNNNNNNNNNNNNNNNNNNNNNNNNNNNNNNNNNNNNNNNNGGGGUCGUCAACUCCGUAGGCGAACUGGGUAGCAGCAGCGUCGGUCUCGUAGUCUGUCGGAGAGAAGAGGAGGAAGAAACAAUUAAUACAAUGCAAACAGGUGCAUAAUGAUGCAUGACAUAACAAGCAACGGUGCCAAGUGUGCCCUAACGCAGUAGGAGGUGAUACCAGUGAAGGGGGGAAACAUUCGGGAAAGUAUCCCCGGUGUUUCGCGUUUUCGGACAGAUGAAAUGGAGGGGGAAAGUUGCGUGUUUGCUAUGCUAGGGAUGUGUGGCGGUCGAACGGGCUACGUAUCUGGAUUUGUCUCGUCGUUCUGAGCAACUUUCAUGUAGAAAGUUUUCCCAUCUGAGCUACGGUUUAUUUUAUAUUCAAUAUUAAAGUUUUAAAUCAUUUUCUAAAUUAUUAUUAUUAAAUUAAUUCGAAAUUAGCAUUACUGCAUCAGCAUGACAUCAACAGUCAACAGAGGUGUUGACUGGGUCAAACUGACAUGUGGGUCCCGCAGGUCAUACUAUGUUGAUUCUAAUUAGGAUUUAACAAAUCUAAUUACUGUUUAAUUAAUUAACAAUAGUUAAUUAGGUUAACUAAAUAGGAUUAAUUUAGUUAAUUAAUUAAUUAAAUUUUAUUAGUAUAUUUUUUUAAUCCUUUUUUUAUAUAAAACCGUUCUGGGAGGUGGGGCCCCAUUGUCAAUGGCCCAAAGGGGCCAAACGGGCGCUGUCAAACGGGUGCGGGCACCAGCCCGCUUGGUUGCUGGGACGUGAGGGGGCCCACUGGGCAGUGACCCAGACCCCUUGCCCAGUGGGAAGUCAUGAGGCUAGAGGCCAUAGCGGGCACGGGCGCAGCCCGAUGUAGCACAGCGGCGCCCGACCGCUGACUCAAGCGCGGCCAACGGGGAGGGAAGGCACGGCGAACCAGGGUGCGCGCGCGCUGGCCCGUGGGCACUAGCCCAGGCCAGCCACGACGAGGCUCGUCGGCCGGAGCAGCAACGGGCAGUGGCAGCGGUGGAGCGGGUGGAGUACGACGGCCGCAAGAACGAGCGGAGGAGACGCGUCCGAGGCAGGCGCAGGUGGCUGCGAUGGCCGACGAGGGGGUGGGUCUCAAGCGCCCCGGCUGUGCGGGGUGUCGGCGGCCAAGGGCGCGGCCGAGGGCGGGGACCAGACUGACGAGCGGGAGGCACAGGGCAGCAGGGGGCUUCGGCAGCGGCCGUAGCCAGUGACGGCGAGCGCUGGGACUGCCAGGAGGCGGGGGGAGGCGUCGGGCACGGUGUUCGGGGCGCGGCUCGGCGCGCGUAUGGGGCGGAGUGCGUGUGCAUGCCGUGGACGACGCCGGUGACAGAGGGAAGGAAGGGAGCUCACGAGGGGGGCUGUAGGGACGGGGCGGCAGGGGUUGAGGAGGUCGACGGGGACGACCGGGCGACGGUGGAGAAGCAGGCCGGCGGGGGAGCGCUCCGGUGACGGCGUCCAACGACGACGGCAACGGGGCGGUCGUCGAGCUCGAGCGGCGAGCAGCGGCCUCCUCCUCGAUCCCGAUCCAAUCGGGGGGAAAGGGGGAGGAGAUAUUUUCGUGGGGGGAAGUGGGGGUGUCGGUGGAGUGGGAGGGGUGCGGUGAGUGGAUAAGGAGUGGGGGUGGGUGGCCGGCUGGGCCUGGUGGGUUGGCCCAGUUGGGCCACUGCCCGGGGGGGUUUUCUUCCUCUCUUUUCCUUUUAGCUUUGUUUUCUGUUUUUGUAUUUUCCCUUUUUCUUUUAUUUAUUACUCUUUUCUGUUUUAAUUCAUUUUAAAAUAAUUAGGCACUUUCUAAAAAUAUGUUUUCUUUACUAUAAUUACCCUUGUAAUAUUCGGCACUCACCGGGCAUUUUGUUUCAACUCUCGAAAUUUUUGUUGUUUGACAUAUUUUCAAUUUAAAAUUUGAAGGGGUUUCGAAUCAAUGUGAGGUUAGCAACAGUAACCCUGGUGACGUGGCAUCGUUAACGUGGGAUUAUUGUAGCAUGAUUAUCCGGGCGUCACAAUUAGAGACAUCAAUGAUAAAGAUAAGUGGUUAGCUAUUCGAAUCCAAAUUGAUGAGACAGACUGUGACUUGAUUUGCAUCCAAGAAACAAAGAGGGA